RNAcentral lists this ribosomal RNA (260 nucleotides) under uncultured archaeon. RNAcentral describes it as "partial 16S ribosomal RNA". It matches the Rfam family "Archaeal small subunit ribosomal RNA", at positions 748 to 1009 of the family's 1478-position model. The record is from RNAcentral.
CAGCCGUAAACUAUGCUCGCUAGGUGUCAGGCAUGGCGCGACCGUGUCUGGUGCCGCAGGGAAGCCGUGAAGCGAGCCACCUGGGAAGUACGGCCGCAAGGCUGAACUUAAGGAAUUGGCGGGGGGAGCACAACAACGGGUGGAGCCUGCGGUUUAAUUGGACUCAACGCCGGGAAGCUCACCGGAUAAGACAGCGGAAUAAUUGCCGGGCUGAAGACUCUGCAUGACUAGCUGAGAGGAGGUGCAUGGCGUAGACGUCU